AGCGAACAUUGGCGGUAGGCUUAACACAUGCAAGUCGAGCGAGGCGUAAUAGUCGAGCGGCGAACGGGUGCGUAAUACAUGGGAAUCUACCCCGAAGUGGGGGAUAACGUUCAGAAAUGGACGCUAAUACCGCAUAGUCCACAUUGGGAAAGCGUUGCAGCGCUUUAGGAUGAGCCCAUGGCUGAUUAGCUAGUUGGUGAGGUAAUGGCUCACCAAGGCGACGAUCAGUAGCUGGUCUGAGAGGAUGACCAGCCACACUGGAACUGAGACACGGUCCAGACUCCUACGGGAGGCAGCAGUGGGGAAUCUUGCGCAAUGGGGGCAACCCUGACGCAGCCAUACCGCGUGAGUGAUGAAGGUCUUCGGAUUGUAAAGCUCUUUCGGCGGGGACGACGAUGACGGUACCCGCAAAAGAAGUCACGGCUAACUUCGUGCCAGCCGCCGCAGUAA
This 450-nucleotide ribosomal RNA is filed under the name uncultured bacterium. RNAcentral's name for it is "partial 16S ribosomal RNA". It matches the Rfam family "Bacterial small subunit ribosomal RNA", at positions 29 to 523 of the family's 1533-position model. The record is from RNAcentral.